CUACCGUCGAGUUCGGGCAUUUCCUGGGC
RNAcentral lists this small RNA (29 nucleotides) under Bombyx mori (domestic silkworm). RNAcentral's name for it is "ovarian small RNA-14614". The record is from RNAcentral. Lineage: Eukaryota; Metazoa; Arthropoda; Insecta; Lepidoptera; Bombycidae.